Molecule: ribosomal RNA, 253 nt
Filed under: uncultured bacterium
Lineage: Bacteria
Description: partial 16S ribosomal RNA
Rfam family: Bacterial small subunit ribosomal RNA
Source: RNAcentral
UACAGAGGUCUCAAGCGUUGUUCGGAUUCAUUGGGCGUAAAGGGUGCGUAGGCGGCGAGGCAAGUCUGGUGUGAAAUCCCGGGGCUCAACCCCGGAACUGCACUGGAUACUGCUUUGCUAGAGUACUGGAGAGGGUACUGGAAUUUACGGUGUAGCAGUGAAAUGCGUAGAUAUCGUAAGGAAGACCAGCGGCGAAGGCGAGUUCCUGGACAGUUACUGACGCUGAGGCACGAAGGCCAGGGGAGCAAACGGG